GUGUCAGCAGCCGCGGUAAUACGGGGGGGGCUAGCGUUAUUCGGAAUCAUUGGGCGUAAAGGGCGCGUAGGCGGCGCGGUAAGUCAAAGGUGAAAUCCCUCGGCUCAACUGAGGAACUGCCUUUGAAACUGCCGUGCUUGAGUCCGGGAGGGGGUAGCGGAAUUCCCAGUGUAGCGGUGAAAUGCGUAGAUAUUGGGAGGAACACCAGUGGCGAAGGCGGCUACCUGGACCGGUACUGACGCUGAUGCGCGAAAGCGUGGGGAGCAAACAGGAUUAGAUACCCUGGUAGUCC
RNAcentral lists this ribosomal RNA (292 nucleotides) under uncultured bacterium. RNAcentral describes it as "partial 16S ribosomal RNA". It matches the Rfam family "Bacterial small subunit ribosomal RNA", at positions 505 to 796 of the family's 1533-position model. The record is from RNAcentral.